Non-coding RNA from Triplophysa dalaica, 1657 nucleotides. The record is from the annotation of a RefSeq genome assembly. NCBI's taxonomy places the organism in Eukaryota, Metazoa, Chordata, Actinopteri, Cypriniformes, Nemacheilidae.
UUGACUACUGGGGGAAAGGCACACAAGUAACUGUCUCAAGUACAGAACUUAAGCUGCCUGCAAAGCUUAUGAUGUCUGAGUGUAGUUCCUCUGAUUCCGGAAUGCGUGGGUGUCUGGCCUCUGGGUAUUUUCCUGGAACAGAAGUCAGUUUCAAAUGGACAGAUCAAAGUGGAAAAGCUCUGACUGACUUUGUCCAGUAUCCUACAGUAACAACUGGAGAAAAAACGCUGAGAUUCAGUCACAUCAAAGUUACACAGAAUAAAGCCAAUGCAACAUGUGAACUUGUGCACUCAUUCCAAAAAGCACCAACCCUGAGCUUGAUUCCCGUAACAACUCAGAAAAGUACAUCUGUCAUGUGUGUUAUUGAGGACUUCUACCCCGACAAUGUCACUGUACAAUGGAAAGUGAAUAAUACUAACAUGCAGCAACAGACAAAAAUGGAUAAUGGAAAAAACAAAGGGACAGGCCUCUACAUAACACAGGAUCUUUAUGUAGUGAGCAGUGAGGUAUGGGAUGAACAUACUAAUUAUACCUGUGAGGUCACACACAUGGGCCAAGUUAAAUCUGAGAAGAAAAACUUCAAAGCUACACUGGCACUGACUCUGAAGACCCCAAUACAGAGAGAAUUAUUUGUCAACAAUAAAGUAAUCUUGCAGGCUGUUAUUUCUGGAAAUGAACGCAGCUCAGUGGAAAGUGCUUUAGUGUCAUGCAAAUUGGAGAAUGAAGCAAUAACAUUACAAAAAAAUGAGGUUCCAUCUCCAAAAGACAUUUCAGAGUUUCGGAUAAUCUACAACGUCACUGUUGAUACAAAAAAAUGGUUUGAAGGUGAAAAGGUCACCUGUAGCAUCAGUGACAAAAACAUCAAGCAAGAGAUCUAUUUUAAUAAAGGAGAUGCAAAGAAACCACAAGUUACCCUUUAUAAACAAGACAUUGACAGCACAGACCCUACACACAUUUCUCUGGUGUGUGAGGUCACCAGUCCUAAACUUGGUGAUGUUUACAUCAUGUGGAAAGUAGAUAAUAAAGAAUAUGAAGAGGGUUAUACCAGUGCUCCAAUCCGUCGAGAGGACUCCACAUCUGUCAUCAGCAUUUAUAAAGUAUCUAAAGAAGAGUUUAGAAAAAACGCAAUCUCCUGUUCAGUCCAAUAUGACAAAAACAAGCCAGAAUCAAAAUCAACAUCACAAAAUGAGCCUCCAGAACCUGAGACAGACUUUGCAUUGGACUGCAAUGAAGAUGUUUUAGAGGAGGAUGAGUUCAGAAGUCUCUGGUCUACUGCCACAUCCUUCAUCUUCCUCUUCCUCUUUUCUCUGACCUACAGCGCUCUACUCAGUCUAUCUAAGAUGAAGCAGUGAGAAAUACCAAGCAUCAAAGUUUAAUUUCAGCAGUUAUUAUUUCAUUAUGAUCUCAAUACUUGACAUGGUCUUACUCCAUAUAUUUUCAAAAAUGCUCUUCACAUUAUGUAGAAAACAGAAAAGAAGACUUCAGCUGGGUCUUGACAGCAGGGUCAGAUAUGACCCAGAUGUGAUUUUUCAUGUGGAAUAAUUCAUUAUAUAGGAAAUUAGUUAUAUUGUCAAAGCUUUAACAGAUAAUGUAAAGAUUUUGUAUAUUGGUAGUUGGAAUUGCUGAGCUAGAAAUUAAAAUACGGUAGACUAUACAC